This 84-nucleotide non-coding RNA is filed under the name Clostridium sp. Its description in RNAcentral is "c-di-GMP sequence". It matches the Rfam family "c-di-GMP-I riboswitch aptamer". From Rfam's summary of the family: GEMM was predicted in a large-scale screen for bacterial structured RNA regulatory elements. Genes associated with GEMM are involved in a diverse array of functions, including chemotaxis regulation, signal transduction, secretion and chitin. The record is from RNAcentral. Lineage: Bacteria; Bacillati; Bacillota; Clostridia; Eubacteriales; Clostridiaceae.
GCUAAUUAUGGGCAAAAUCAUCGAAAGAUGACGCGCAAAGCCAUGAGUCUAAAGCAAUCAUGCCAUGAUCGUCAGGUUGCCAUA